UCUUUAAAACUAAAGGCAUCCUCUUUUAAAACUGCUUCUUUAGAGAAUCAAUCUGGGUUCAAUUUAAUGCUUCCUUGCCGUUUAACCGGGUACCCAGCAGGCUGUGGAAUUGGGGGGGAAAACCACAGGCAGGAAAUCCGACCUCGCUGUAUUCCAUGUGACCGCCUGCUCCGAGAAUCCGGGAGCAACAUUCCCCUGAUUCAUCCUCCAGAAAUCGGGGGGUGGGGUGAGGAAGGGUUCCUCCUCGGUUUAGUGUUGCCAGUUACUUUCACAGACUUUUGGAUGAGAACUAGGAAGGAGGACUGGAAAAAUUCAUCAAGUUAACAACAGCUCAUUUCCCCAGCAAAGAAACUCCUUGCCGUCUCCAAAGCAAGAACACAAGCCGCAAACGAGCACCUGAUCAUUUCUAUGUGCUGGGCAGCUCGAUACAAUCCUCCCACCUCUUGAGCUGAAUCGUAAACUACAUGUCAUACAGUAAAUGAUGUGCCGAGCUGCGGUGUAAGAUUGCAUUGAGGGUAUGAAGACACAAUGCGGCCGUCAGGAAGAUGUCCCACGGUGGUCUAAUAGUUUCCUGGCACUAAGUGGAGUCCUUCUUUUCAGAGAACAACCAGAAUAGUAUUUGAAGUGACAGGGAUGACUGGAGGAGGACUCGGAGAAAACGACUAAUGAAAAGCAGAGUGCCUGGAGGGGCGUGUCCUUGUCUGUGUUUGAUUGACGGCACCUGGCAGGCUGAGUCCCAGCAAGGGAACGAGAGACAACGUCAUCGGCAGACAGCGCGUUGUUAGCGGCGCCUGAGAACCACACUACCACAUCUAACUGAGACGAAGUGACAUUUGCAGCAAAUAGUCACAGCCUCACUUAGACACUAACGUCGGAGCGCUCGUUUACCCCUCUCGGCGCAGCCCCGGCGGACGGGGCACCCGCUCUACUAAGAGACAUUCCACCGGCUCCAAGUCACAACACCGCCCGGCUGGGACUCGCCAAGUUGACAAACGCGAUGAACUCAACCUAGCACAGGAGAAAGAAGAUGCCUCCUUCUCGCUUUACACUUGAAACAUAUUAAUAUUACGUGAGCUGUGGCGACCCCCAACCUCCCCCAUUUUAAAUAAGCUAACGGCAGACGUUCUCCGGACUGUCGGUUGACACAGACGUUGAGCUAACGAGCCAUGGAUCACAUACCAAUCA
Molecule: long non-coding RNA, 1185 nt
Organism: Dicentrarchus labrax (European seabass)
Lineage: Eukaryota; Metazoa; Chordata; Actinopteri; Moronidae
Exons: 4
Source: RefSeq, a predicted model, not a curated record